Molecule: long non-coding RNA, 270 nt
Organism: Rosa chinensis
Lineage: Eukaryota; Viridiplantae; Streptophyta; Magnoliopsida; Rosales; Rosaceae
Exons: 3
Source: RefSeq, a predicted model, not a curated record
UUGAUGAGGAUGGAUGCUUUACUGAAAAAAUUACCGACUUUAGCUAGUGCUAUGUCAAAAAUGCAGAUACAGAUAUUAUUGAAGCACUGAAGCGGAAAGGAAGGCUUGUUAAGUCUGGAACCAUUAUGCAUUCUUAUCCCCAUUGCCCAAGAUCUAACACUCCACUUAUUCAAAGAGCUGUUCCAAGUUGGUUUAUCCGGGUGGAGCAGUUGAAAGAAAAAUUGUUAGAAAACAACAAGCAGACAUAUUGGGUUCCUGAUUUUGUGAAGG